AUGAUUUCACACAUCCAGCUGAUCUGGCCCCUGGCAUUCUGUGUCGCAGGUAUCAGUGGGGACAUCACCAUGACCCAGUCUCCCCCGGUGCUGUCAGUGGGACUGGGCCAGACCGCAACCAUCACCUGUAAGGCCAGUCAAAGCAUUAGCAGCUACCUUGCUUGGUACCAGCAGCGAGAAGGUCAGAAACCCUCUCUCCUGAUCUAUGCUGCAACAACUCGAUUCACAGGAGUCUCCGAUCGAUUCACCGGCAGUGGAUCAGGGACCAGUUUCACCCUGACAAUCAGCAACGUUCAGAAUGAGGAUGUCGCUGACUAUUACUGUCAGCAGGGUUACAGCUACCCUCAGCUUACGUUCGGUAAAGGAACCAAGCUCAGA
Non-coding RNA from Hemiscyllium ocellatum (epaulette shark), 378 nucleotides. Lineage: Eukaryota; Metazoa; Chordata; Chondrichthyes; Orectolobiformes; Hemiscylliidae. The record is from the annotation of a RefSeq genome assembly.